GUGUGACUGCGUACCUUUUGUAUAAUGGGUCAGCGACUUAUAUUCUGUAGCAAGGUUAACCGAAUAGGGGAGCCGAAGGGAAACCGAGUCUUAACUGGGCGUUAAGUUGCAGGGUAUAGACCCGAAACCCGGUGAUCUAGCCAUGGGCAGGUUGAAGGUUGGGUAACACUAACUGGAGGACCGAACCGACUAAUGUUGAAAAAUUAGCGGAUGACUUGUGGCUGGGGGUGAAAGGCCAAUCAAACCGGGAGAUAGCUGGUUCUCCCCGAAAGCUAUUUAGGUAGCGCCUCGUGAAUUCAUCUCCGGGGGUAGAGCACUGUUUCGGCAAGGGGGUCAUCCCGACUUACCAACCCGAUGCAAACUGCGAAUACCGGAGAAUGUUAUCACGGGAGACACACGGCGGGUGCUAACGUCCGUCGUGAAGAGGGAAACAACCCAGACCGCCAGCUAAGGUCCCAAAGUCAUGGUUAAGUGGGAAACGAUGUGGGAAGGCCCAGACAGCCAGGAUGUUGGCUUAGAAGCAGCCAUCAUUUAAAGAAAGCGUAAUAGCUCACUGGUCGAGUCGGCCUGCGCGGAAGAUGUAACGGGGCUAAACCAUGCACCGAAGCUGCGGCAGCGACGCUGAUGCGUUGUUGGGUAGGGGAGCGUUCUGUAAGCCUGUGAAGGUGUGCUGUGAGGCAUGCUGGAGGUAUCAGAAGUGCGAAUGCUGACAUAAGUAACGAUAAAGCGGGUGAAAAGCCCGCUCGCCGGAAGACCAAGGGUUCCUGUCCAACGUUAAUCGGGGCAGGGUGAGUCGACCCCUAAGGCGAGGCCGAAAGGCGUAGUCGAUGGGAAACAGGUUAAUAUUCCUGUACUUGGUGUUACUGCGAAGGGGGGACGGAGAAGGCUAUGUUGGCCGGGCGACGGUUGUCCCGGUUUAAGCGUGUAGGCUGGUUUUCCAGGCAAAUCCGGAAAAUCAAGGCUGAGGCGUGAUGACGAGGCACUACGGUGCUGAAGCAACAAAUGCCCUGCUUCCAGGAAAAGCCUCUAAGCAUCAGGUAACAUCAAAUCGUACCCCAAACCGACACAGGUGGUCAGGUAGAGAAUACCAAGGCGCUUGAGAGAACUCGGGUGAAGGAACUAGGCAAAAUGGUGCCGUAACUUCGGGAGAAGGCACGCUGAUAUGUAGGUGAAGUCCCUCGCGGAUGGAGCUGAAAUCAGUCGAAGAUACCAGCUGGCUGCAACUGUUUAUUAAAAACACAGCACUGUGCAAACACGAAAGUGGACGUAUACGGUGUGACGCCUGCCCGGUGCCGGAAGGUUAAUUGAUGGGGUUAGCGCAAGCGAAGCUCUUGAUCGAAGCCCCGGUAAACGGCGGCCGUAACUAUAACGGUCCUAAGGUAGCGAAAUUCCUUGUCGGGUAAGUUCCGACCUGCACGAAUGGCGUAAUGAUGGCCAGGCUGUCUCCACCCGAGACUCAGUGAAAUUGAACUCGCUGUGAAGAUGCAGUGUACCCGCGGCAAGACGGAAAGACCCCGUGAACCUUUACUAUAGCUUGACACUGAACAUUGAGCCUUGAUGUGUAGGAUAGGUGGGAGGCUUUGAAGUGUGGACGCCAGUCUGCAUGGAGCCGACCUUGAAAUACCACCCUUUAAUGUUUGAUGUUCUAACGUUGACCCGUAAUCCGGGUUGCGGACAGUGUCUGGUGGGUAGUUUGACUGGGGCGGUCUCCUCCUAAAGAGUAACGGAGGAGCACGAAGGUUGGCUAAUCCUGGUCGGACAUCAGGAGGUUAGUGCAAUGGCAUAAGCCAGCUUGACUGCGAGCGUGACGGCGCGAGCAGGUGCGAAAGCAGGUCAUAGUGAUCCGGUGGUUCUGAAUGGAAGGGCCAUCGCUCAACGGAUAAAAGGUACUCCGGGGAUAACAGGCUGAUACCGCCCAAGAGUUCAUAUCGACGGCGGUGUUUGGCACCUCGAUGUCGGCUCAUCACAUCCUGGGGCUGAAGUAGGUCCCAAGGGUAUGGCUGUUCGCCAUUUAAAGUGGUACGCGAGCUGGGUUUAGAACGUCGUGAGACAGUUCGGUCCCUAUCUGCCGUGGGCGCUGGAGAACUGAGGGGGGCUGCUCCUAGUACGAGAGGACCGGAGUGGACGCAUCACUGGUGUUCGGGUUGUCAUGCCAAUGGCACUGCCCGGUAGCUAAAUGCGGAAGAGAUAAGUGCUGAAAGCAUCUAAGCACGAAACUUGCCCCGAGAUGAGUUCUCCCUGACUCCUUGAGAGUCCUGAAGGAACGUUGAAGACGACGACGUUGAUAGGCCGGGUGUGUAAGCGCAGCGAUGCGUUGAGCUAACCGGUACUAA
Molecule: ribosomal RNA, 2333 nt
Filed under: Escherichia coli
Lineage: Bacteria; Pseudomonadati; Pseudomonadota; Gammaproteobacteria; Enterobacterales; Enterobacteriaceae
Description: bacterial LSU rRNA
Rfam family: Bacterial large subunit ribosomal RNA
Source: RNAcentral